GUUGACCCUGUAUUCAAGAGAUAAACGUUUCAUGGCGAAAUCUUAGGCGUACAUUUUACAGUUGUUAUCACAUCGUUCAAAAUUUGAAAUCCCUGAAAACAUAUCCUACUUCAAUCUUUCCUUCCUCUCUCCCCAUAAGAAGCCCUAACACGCAUCCACCUUGUCAUUUUAUACUGCCAUAUACAGAGAGGUGUUGAAGAUCGGAAAAUCUCUACACACACUCACCACUCUCGCUCAAUACAGGUUGAAAUCUCUGUACCCUUGAAGGUUUAAUCGUUUAAGCUACCACUCCCCGUGCCAUCACCAUCAACAACCACACAUCGCACCAUGCCAUCAGGAACCACUCUUCUGUUUUUUUUGUUUUCUAUUUUUGAAAAUCCAGUUACGCCUCCUCCUAACUCGAAAUCGAGUUUCAGUUGAUGGAGGUUUGCUCCUAUUUUUUUCCCUUUCUACUAUGGUGGUAGAGUCUUAGUCCCAAUAAUACGAUGUUGGAGUUCAGUUAUAUUCCAGUGAAAAAAAUUUACAGGAAGGGAGCCAAUCGCAAACCCUAGGCGAUUUCAUUUCUUCAAACAAAUAUGUUUAUGAAAUAUCUUUAAUUUCAUGUUUUAUUAUGUUGAAUUUCGUUUGUUUAGUUAACCAUGGAUAUUGUCAAAAAAAAUUCAGAGGAUAUGGCCGAGAUCUUGAUUUAUCUAUCUUUUGAUGUUUUUGUUAAUUUUAAUUUUAAUUUGCUAUAUAUUGUUCAUUCUUCAAAUUAUAAGGAUAGUUUUUUUUUUUGUUGUUACAGGAAAAUGAAUUUCACCGGCUGCUCCAAGUUUCAAAAACUAAGUCUAAUCACUUGCUGUCUUCUUAAUUUCCAUAAUAUGAAAAUUUUACCCAAUUAUGGUAUAGUAAUUUCAUAUUAUUUCUAUAAGCCAAUCUGUAAAGUUUUUUCUUAUUAUGUACUUUGAGAAGUUUGAAAUUACAACUUCUAGAGCAUGCUAUAUUUGUCUAAUAUUAUCCAUUUUGGUGUCAUUGUUGAUUGUAGGUAAAGUGGAUUUGUGUUGGCUUUGUUGGAAAUUGUGCAUACGUUUUUUUACUUUUGCUGAUUUUGUGAUGUAGGCCUUGCCGAAUUAGCAAAUUGCUGAUUACCCGAAUUAGCAAACUGCUAAUUACCCACCAAAAUUGGUUCCAGAACUGUUUGCAGCAAUAAUUUUGUUUUGGAUUCAGGUACUAUAAUUUUGUUUUAUUUAGUUCUAAAUUAUAAAUAAUAAAAUGAAUAACUUUUGAUUCUCAAGUCCGUUUUAACCAUUGUAAUCAUUGCAUUUAUUUAAUCUAUUAUUUAGUUAUCAUAGUUUUAGGUCACAUGUAUGUAGGUUUAUUUUUUAUUGCUAUAAAGCACAAAGAAAUGAUAGUAGGAUGCUAUAAAGCACAAAGAAAUGGAAGUAUGUUGCUUUAUUUUUUAUUUUUUUGGGCUAUUAGCUGCCAAAAGGCCAAAUUUGUUUAAUGUCAAAAGGCCAAAGUUUUGUUUUAUUUUGUCAAACUAAUGGAUUUUGUUCUUCCUGUAUCUAGGUUGGAGAUAACUUUAGUAAAUUUGGGGUUUUGCAUUUUUUUUGCUACCUAAUUCUAAUGCUACCAUUUACUUUUAUGUGUUUUGUAAUGAAAUACUCUUAUACUUUGAAUAAGAUGGGAGUUAGUUACUUACAUAUUUUCUUUCUUGCAAGCGUGUACUGAUGCAAAAUAUGUAUGAAGAUACCACGAUUUUAAAACUCAAAAAUACUAAAAUUUCUAUUUAUAUAGACAUAGAAAUUAAUCAUAAAAAGGUUAUUUUAUGAUUCAAAUAUAAAUGAGCAAUGAUAGUACCCAUUAAAAAUGAUGAUUUUGCUUUCAUGUUUUUGUCAUUUCCGUGUAAGUACGAGUGUUUGAUACUUUCUUUGGAUAUAUUGUAAAAAAUAUAUUAAUUUGUUUUAACAC
RNAcentral lists this long non-coding RNA (1950 nucleotides) under Lactuca sativa (garden lettuce). Its description in RNAcentral is "long non-coding RNA (LSAT_LNC001827)". Lineage: Eukaryota; Viridiplantae; Streptophyta; Magnoliopsida; Asterales; Asteraceae. The record is from RNAcentral.